UACGAAGGGGGCUAGCGUUGCUCGGAAUCACUGGGCGUAAAGCGCACGUAGGCGGAUUGCUAAGUCAGGGGUGAAAUCCUGGAGCUCAACUCCAGAACUGCCUUUGAUACUGGCGACCUUGAGUCCGGGAGAGGUGAGUGGAACUGCGAGUGUAGAGGUGAAAUUCGUAGAUAUUCGCAAGAACACCAGUGGCGAAGGCAGCUCACUGGCCCGGUACUGACGCUGAGGUGCGAAAGCGUGGGGAGCAAACAGG
RNAcentral lists this ribosomal RNA (253 nucleotides) under uncultured bacterium. Its description in RNAcentral is "partial 16S ribosomal RNA". It matches the Rfam family "Bacterial small subunit ribosomal RNA", at positions 524 to 776 of the family's 1533-position model. The record is from RNAcentral.